GGGCGCUUAGCUCAGCGGGAGAGCACUUCCUUGACAUGGAAGGGGUCGCAGGUUCAAUCCCUGCAGCGCCCACCA
RNAcentral lists this transfer RNA (75 nucleotides) under Alphaproteobacteria bacterium. Its description in RNAcentral is "tRNA-Val". It matches the Rfam family "tRNA". From Rfam's summary of the family: Transfer RNA (tRNA) molecules are approximately 80 nucleotides in length. Their secondary structure includes four short double-helical elements and three loops (D, anti-codon, and T loops). Lineage: Bacteria; Pseudomonadati; Pseudomonadota; Alphaproteobacteria. The record is from RNAcentral.